CUGGCGGUAUGCUUAACACAUGCAAGUCGAACGGUGUCCUUCGGGGCAUAGUGGCGGACGGGUGAGUAACGCGUGAGAAUCUGGCCUGGGGACGGGGACAACAGUUGGAAACGACUGCUAAUACCGGAUAAGCCGAGAGGUGAAAGAUUAAUUGCCCGAGGAUGAGCUCGCGUCUGAUUAGCUAGUUGGUGGGGUAAGAGCCUACCAAGGCGACGAUCAGUAACUGGUCUGAGAGGAUGACCAGUCACACUGGGACUGAGACACGGCCCAGACUCCUACGGGAGGCAGCAGUGGGGAAUUUUCCGCAAUGGGCGAAAGCCUGACGGAGCAAUACCGCGUGAGGGAGGAAGGCUCUUGGGUCGUAAACCUCUUUUCUCAGGGAAGAACAGAUGACGGUACCU
Molecule: ribosomal RNA, 401 nt
Filed under: uncultured bacterium
Lineage: Bacteria
Description: bacterial SSU rRNA
Rfam family: Bacterial small subunit ribosomal RNA
Source: RNAcentral